CUCCAACAGCCAAUGAAUAGAACCACGGGGCGGGUUUUCAGGCACCGAAUCAGAGAGAGACAGAGAACAAGAGGGAAGGUUGAGAGAGGGUCACGUAACUGUAAUAAAACGGAAAGGGUCAGAACUCACAAGUCACAGCUUCACAUAGGGCACAACUGGGGGCGGCUAAUACGGAGCUGAGGGGGCUAACGAGACACUGGCUUUUGGUGAGCCUUUUGAGUCAUCUUGGUAUUUGCUGGCUGGCUCAUUUUAUCUCCUCUCUUCUCUUUCCCGUAGCUGUGAGACAAAAGGUUCUGUUGACUAAGGGCCCAUAGAUUGAUCAUGGCCACCUUUCACAGGGUUUCUUUCUGUUUUAUUUUCCGGCUGUGAUUAAAACACAAAUAUUGGAACGCAGCCCUGCUCCCCAGUCCUCCUCACAAUGUGGCGAUGUGAUAAUGCAAGAAUUCCCACAAAAAUCACUUUUUUAGUUCUCGUCCUGGAGGAGAAGGAGGUUUCAGGUCCUGUUGCAAUAGCACCCAUGCGCCGUAUUGAAAGAGGGUAAAAAAACCGACGGUUCCUCCAUCCUGUUCCCUAGUACUCGUGCCCACGUGGUUUCUCGGCUGCUUCUUGUCCUUAUGUUUUCUUGUAAACUCUUUUCUUUUUUAAUUCUUUAUGCUUUUUUUUGUUGUUGUUUUGUUGGUAAGAAUAUUUUUUAGGUUAAUUUUAAUUUACCCCAUAGGAUUUGAACGGAAUCCAAGGUGUCCCUUUAAGGUUUAAAUUAUUGCAAUGUCAUCCUUCAAGUUUCAUUAA
Molecule: long non-coding RNA, 789 nt
Organism: Populus trichocarpa (black cottonwood)
Lineage: Eukaryota; Viridiplantae; Streptophyta; Magnoliopsida; Malpighiales; Salicaceae
Exons: 2
Source: RefSeq, a predicted model, not a curated record